AACGAACGCUGGCGGCGCGCCUAAUGCAUGCAAGUCGAGCGAGAAGACGUAGCAAUACGUUUGUAAAGCGGCGAACGGGUGAGGAAUACAUGGGUAACCUACCCUCGAGUGGGGAAUAACUAGCCGAAAGGUUAGCUAAUACCGCGUACGCUCCUUGGACUUCGGUUCAGGGAGGAAAGCGAUACCGUGGGUAUCGCGCUCUUGGAUGGGCUCAUGUCCUAUCAGCUUGUUGGGAGGUAACGGCUCACCAAGGCUUCGACGGGUAGCUGGUCUGAGAGGACGAUCAGCCACACUGGCACUGCGACACGGGCCAGACUCCUACGGGAGGCAGCAGUAAGGAAUAUUGCGCAAUGGGCGAAAGCCUGACGCAGCGACGCCGCGUGGGGGAUGAAGGUCUUCGGAUUGUAAACCCCUUUCGGGAGGGAAGAUGGAACGAGCAAUCGUUCGGACGGUACCUCCAGAAGCAGCCACGGCUAACUUCGUGCCAGCAGCCGCGGUAAU
This 501-nucleotide ribosomal RNA is filed under the name uncultured bacterium. RNAcentral's name for it is "bacterial SSU rRNA". It matches the Rfam family "Bacterial small subunit ribosomal RNA", at positions 29 to 524 of the family's 1533-position model. The record is from RNAcentral.